RNAcentral lists this ribosomal RNA (301 nucleotides) under uncultured bacterium. Its description in RNAcentral is "partial 16S ribosomal RNA". It matches the Rfam family "Bacterial small subunit ribosomal RNA", at positions 509 to 807 of the family's 1533-position model. The record is from RNAcentral.
CAGCCGCCACGGGAACACGGAGGGUGCAAGCGUUAAUCGGAAUUACUGGGCGUAAAGCGUGCGUAGGCGGUUCGUUAAGUCUGUUGUGAAAGCCCCGGGCUCAACCUGGGAAUGGCAAUGGAUACUGGCGAGCUAGAGUGUGUCAGAGGAUGGUGGAAUUCCCGGUGUAGCGGUGAAAUGCGUAGAGAUCGGGAGGAACAUCAGUGGCGAAGGCGGCCAUCUGGGACAACACUGACGCUGAGGCACGAAAGCGUGGGGAGCAAACAGGAUUAGAGACCCCCGUAGUCCCUGUCUCUUAUAC